GUGCCAGCAGCCGCGGUAAUACGGGGGGAGCGAGCGUUGUCCGGAAUCACUGGGCGUAAAGGGUGUGUAGGCGUCCCGGUAAGUCUCUGGUGAAAGCCUUCCGCUCAACGGAAGAAUUGCCAGAGAUACUGUCGGGAUUGAGUCCGGGAGAGGGGAGCGGAAUUCCUGGUGUAGCGGUGAAAUGCGUAGAUAUCGGGAGGAACACCGGAGGCGAAGGCGGUCUUCUGGGCCACUCCUGACACUGAGGCACGAAAGCUAGGGGAGCGAACGGGAUUAGAUACCCCGGUAGUCCUAGCCGUAAACGAUGGGCACUAGAUGUUCCCACAUUUUGUGGGAGUGUCGAAGCUAACGCGUUAAGUGCCCCGCCUGGGGAGUACGGUCGCAAGGCUGAAACUCAAAUGAAUUGACGGGG
RNAcentral lists this ribosomal RNA (412 nucleotides) under uncultured prokaryote. RNAcentral describes it as "bacterial SSU rRNA". It matches the Rfam family "Bacterial small subunit ribosomal RNA", at positions 505 to 918 of the family's 1533-position model. The record is from RNAcentral.